UGCCUACGGGGGGCAGCAGUGAGGGAUAUUGGUCAAUGGGGGAAACCCUGAACCAGCAACGCCGCGUGAGGGAAGACGGUUUUCGGAUUGUAAACCUCUGUCCUCUGUGAAGAUAAUGACGGUAGCAGAGGAGGAAGCUCCGGCUAACUACGUGCCAGCAGCCGCGGUAAUACGUAGGGAGCAAGCGUUGUCCGGAUUUACUGGGUGUAAAGGGUGCGUAGGCGGCCUUGCAAGUCAGAAGUGAAAUCCAUGGGCUUAACCCGUGAACUGCUUUUGAAACUGUAGGGCUUGAGAUGUCGAGAGGG
RNAcentral lists this ribosomal RNA (305 nucleotides) under uncultured bacterium. Its description in RNAcentral is "bacterial SSU rRNA". It matches the Rfam family "Bacterial small subunit ribosomal RNA", at positions 335 to 658 of the family's 1533-position model. The record is from RNAcentral.